This 481-nucleotide ribosomal RNA is filed under the name uncultured bacterium. RNAcentral describes it as "partial 16S ribosomal RNA". It matches the Rfam family "Bacterial small subunit ribosomal RNA", at positions 28 to 507 of the family's 1533-position model. The record is from RNAcentral.
GACGAACGUUGGCGGCGUGCUUAAUACAUGCAAGUCGACUGAAGCAGUGGUAGCAAUAUCGCUGUGGAGGUGGCGCACGGGGGAGUAACCCGUAGGUAAUCUGCCUUCAGGUCUGGCAUAACUCCGGGAAACCGGGGCUAAUAGCAGAUGAUGCAGCGGCUCGACAUCGAGACAGUUGUUAAAGCUAUGGCGCCUGAAGAUGAGCCUGCGUCUGAUUAGCUAGUUGGCGGGGUCACGGCCCACCAAGGCAACGAUCAGUAGCUGGUCUGAGAGGAUGCUCAGCCACACUGGAACUGAGACACGGCCCAGACUCCGACGGGAGGCAGAAGGAAGGAAGAUGGGUCGAUGGGAGAAAUACUGAAGCAGCAACGACGCGGGGGGGACGAAGGGCUUUUGAUUGUAAACCUCUGUAGUGAGAGAAAAAAAUCCCAAUCUGCGGGACAUGAUGGUAUCUAAAAAGUAAGCCCCGGCUAACUACGUG